AGAGAAAGCUGGCGGCAGGCCUAACACAUGCAAGUCGAACGAACCUUUCGGGGUUAGUGGCGGACGGGUGAGUAACACGUGGGAACGUGCCUUUAGGUUCGGAAUAACUCAGGGAAACUUGUGCUAAUACCGAAUGUGCCCUUCGGGGGAAAGAUUUAUCGCCUUUAGAGCGGCCCGCGUCUGAUUAGCUAGUUGGUUGAGGUAAUGGCUCACCAAGGCGACGAUCAGUAGCUGGUCUGAGAGGAUGAUCAGCCACAUUGGGACUGAGACACGGCCCAAACUCCUACGGGAGGCAGCAGUGGGGAAUCUUGCGCAAUGGGCGAAAGCCUGACGCAGCCAUGCCGCGUGAAUGAUGAAGGUCUUAGGAUUGUAAAAUUCUUUCACCGGGGACGAUAAUGACGGUACCCGGAGAAGAAGCCCCGGCUAACUUCGUG
RNAcentral lists this ribosomal RNA (434 nucleotides) under uncultured bacterium. Its description in RNAcentral is "partial 16S ribosomal RNA". It matches the Rfam family "Bacterial small subunit ribosomal RNA", at positions 31 to 507 of the family's 1533-position model. The record is from RNAcentral.